GACGGAGGAUGCAAGCGUUAUCCGGCAUGAUUGGGCGUAAAGCGUCCGCAGGUGGCAGUUCAAGUCUGCUGUCAAAGACCGGGGCUUAACUUCGGAAAGGCAGUGGAAACUGAACAGCUAGAGUAUGGUAGGGGCAGAGGGAAUUCCUGGUGUAGCGGUGAAAUGCGUAGAGAUCAGGAAGAACAUCGGUGGCGAAGGCGCUCUGCUGGACCAUAACUGACACUCAGGGACGAAAGCUAGGGGAGCGAAUGGG
Molecule: ribosomal RNA, 253 nt
Filed under: uncultured bacterium
Lineage: Bacteria
Description: partial 16S ribosomal RNA
Rfam family: Bacterial small subunit ribosomal RNA
Source: RNAcentral